Molecule: RNA transcript, 793 nt
Organism: Agrilus planipennis (emerald ash borer)
Lineage: Eukaryota; Metazoa; Arthropoda; Insecta; Coleoptera; Buprestidae
Exons: 3
Source: RefSeq, a predicted model, not a curated record
AAAUGUUCCUAUCAGAAAUACACCAAUACAAACAAAACCAAUGAAGUUGUUAUUGAUGGAAUAUUACCUUAUCACAAUAUAAAGGCGGUACCUGUAUGUGAUAGAUAUAUACUUCAAUUGUUCAUAUAUAUACGCUUAGAGCAUUGCAUUAACUUCAACAGCAAUUUGAUAAACGCUUUGAAAAGUAAUUUAGUUUGUGUCGAAUAAUUUUCAUUUUUCAAAUACAAAAUGAACACCAAAGUGUUGAUCACUUUUCUACCUUUUAUUGUGCUGGGUUGCUGGUUAGUAACUGCAUCUCCAGUAGAAGAAAAAACUCCUGAAGCUGCCUAUAGAAAAAGCGAUGGAUCUGUGCUGAAUAAGCACGAGUUAGAAACUGACGGACUAAGAGACACAAGGGUAGCGUCCAUUUACGAAACGAAUAUGCCAGUUGCCAUGCAAACCCAAAUCUUAUCAUACGUAAAUACAGCCUACUCACUAUCGUCUGAUAGGGUUUACAUAUCUCAACUUCUUCAGAGCUACAUGAAUGCAUACCAACCUAAUUAUCGUUGGAACGUGGUUAUCAACUAUGCUGCAAUUUCUUACUACAGCAACUAUUAUGCAAUUGUUAGACAAAACUCUGAUUAUUUGAUUAUCUUUGGAUGAACCGUUUCGGGUUCUAGUUCCAAUAAGAUCACUUGAUAAUAAACUGCACCACUGUCCUAGUUUUAAUUAAUUUAUUGACACAUGUCAUUAGUUUAUAUGAUAAUAUAAUGUAUCUUGUUUAAUUGAUUAAAUAUUAGACUAUUGAAGUACA